RNAcentral lists this unclassified non-coding RNA (202 nucleotides) under Hevea brasiliensis (rubber tree). Lineage: Eukaryota; Viridiplantae; Streptophyta; Magnoliopsida; Malpighiales; Euphorbiaceae. The record is from RNAcentral.
UUUUCUUUUUUUUUUUGUUAUUUUUUUUAGUGUAACAAAGCUGCUUAUUUGGACAAUGAUCUGGCAAAUGGUACAAGAAUUUCCCCAACCAUGUUGAGGAGAAGCUUAAAAAAAUAAAAUAAAAAAGGAGCCCCACUGUAGUUGCCAAAUAGGAUAUUAAGAGUCCGUUUGACAUUACUCUUGAAAAUGUUACCGAAAAAAU